This 301-nucleotide ribosomal RNA is filed under the name uncultured bacterium. RNAcentral's name for it is "partial 16S ribosomal RNA". It matches the Rfam family "Bacterial small subunit ribosomal RNA", at positions 509 to 807 of the family's 1533-position model. The record is from RNAcentral.
CAGCCGCCGCGGGAAUACAGAGGGUGCGAGCGUUAAUCGGAUUUACUGGGCGUAAAGCGUGCGUAGGCGGCUUCUUAAGUCGGAUGUGAAAUCCCUGAGCUUAACUUAGGAAUUGCAUUCGAUACUGGGAAGCUAGAGUAUGGGAGAGGAUGGUAGAAUUCCAGGUGUAGCGGUGAAAUGCGUAGAGAUCUGGAGGAAUACCGAUGGCGAAGGCAGCCAUCUGGCCUAAUACUGACGCUGAGGUACGAAAGCAUGGGGAGCAAACAGGAUUAGAUACCCGGGUAGUCCCUGUCUCUUAUAC